AGAGCAUGCAACCAUUCGAAACGGAAGGGGACGUGGUUGGUAUUAGACACGAGAUUCUUAAAUCGCUUACAUAAAUAGAUACUUCGAUCAAAUUUGAAAUGAAAAAUGUUGUCUACAUUAAAUGUGUUUAACGAUAUAUCCUCAACUCUCACUAAUUUAAAGUUAAUGCCGUUUGUAUAAGCCUACUAUUGGUUUUGUUUACUAUGCUGAAUAAUUAUUGCAGUAAGGUGUCUUUCCCGAGCACGUGACACCUCAUUAAUACAUGCAUAGAAAUAUAAUUACUAGAACUGACAACUUGGAGGGGAGAGAGGGUUGGAGGAUGGAAAUGGCGGCUAGUACUGCAGACGAAAUGGAGGAAAUGGAGAAAAGGUUGGUGAAGCAAAUGGUGUGGUGGAAUGCUAACGAUAUGGGUGUCAGUUCUGAUGGUACGGAGCAGAAGGAUGAGGGUCAAGCACCGGCAUGGUCGGUAGUGGAAAGAAGAGAAAUCAUGAUACAGAAAGCUGUGGAUCAUCUAGUAAACAAACGAUAAAGAGGGACAAGGUCCCAGGUCCCGAGAACCUUUUUAUUCUCACUCAACAGCUUCAUCAUUACUCAAGGCCACAAUGGAACAGAAUAGUGCACCUUAGUGGAUCUUGACUAAUCUGAGAGCAGAGUACUGGUGCACACGGAUGGCAUCGCUUAAGAAAAUCUCAAGGAAGGACACUGCAGUACUCUCUUGGAUUGGCUGGAUCAGCAGUAGGGGACACAGAGACCACAGGAAGUAGAAGUGGGCUCCGAAACCAGACUUUAUCUAACAUUUCUUUAUCCAAUAAACUCCCCCGUUCAUUCCAUGCCUCUCCUUGUGCUGUGACCACAAACAAAUCGGUUUCGUAAACCCUGUUGCAUUUUGAGUUAAACUUAGUCUGUUAUUGAUGCUAAUCAUUUCAAUCUGUUCAAAAUUAUGCUGAACAGAAAGGUUCAGGUUUAUUUAAAAAGUGUUUUAGGUGUUAAUAUGCCAAAAUGCAAUAGAAAUAUUUUUACAAAAUUGCACCGGAGUGAUGUUUUGUAUGAUGGAAUGUGGCCCAGUGUCAGACGAGAGGAUGACUCACUCAGUGAGAUCAAAUACUGUAUCUUGAGGAAUAUGACAAUAUCCUGUGGCUUUAGAGGGCUAGAGAUGUUUUUGUGUAGCAUUAUUUUCGGAGGGGAACAUGAAUGUUCUGGCGGAAUAACUCAUUUUGGCGUUGAUGAUGAUAUUAUUUGCUCUUCCAGAUCACUGUCUUUCAUAUCAAAUCACAAGUGAACACAAAUGUUGUUUGUUUUUUGGUGCCUUUUCUUCCUGCCGCCAAGCCAACCCAGACAAAGCCACUGGUCCAAUCACUUUGUGAAGCACCAACCGUGCUCAAUGAUCCAUGCUGCCAGUCUGUUGAUGAGGGCUGGACUAGAUUAAUUGACUAUCUGUCCAUUUCAAGGGAAACCUAUCCCUUCCCAUCAAUAUCAGCAUUUAGAACAGUUAGUGAAAACAAAGCUGAAGCUCUUUUCUCAGAUAUCGGGUCAAUGCCCUUCAUUACGCAAGUGUACACUUACCCUAACCAAGUGCAUUCGGAAAGGAUUCAGACCCCUUGACUUUUUCCACAUUUUGUUACGUUACAGCUUUAUUAUAAAAUGUAUUACAUUUUUGUUUUCCUUUCAGCCUACACAAAAUACCCUAUAAUGACAAAGCAAAAACAGGUUUUUAGAAUUUUUUUGAAUAAAAAAAAAAGGAAAUAUCACAGUAUUCAUGCCCUUUACUCAGUACUUUUUUGAAGCACCUUUGGCAGUGAUUACAGACCAAAAAGGUGCUUCAACAAAGUCUCCCUGACCAAAGUACCUUCUCCCCUGAUUGCUCAGUUUGGCCCCACGGCCAGCUCUAGGAAGUGUGUUGGUGGUUCCAAACUUCUUCCAUUUAAGAAUGGCCACUGUGUUCUUGGAGACCUUCAAUUGCAUACAUUUUUUGGUACUCUUCCCCAGAUCUGUGCCCUCGACACAAUCCUGUCUCUGAGAUCUACGGACAAUUCCUUCGACCUCAUGGCUUGGUUUUUGCUCUGACAUGCAUUGUCAGCUGUGCGACCUUAUAUAGACAGGUGUGUGCCUUUCCAAAUCAUGUCCAAUCAAUUGAAUUUACCACAGGUGGACUCCAAUCAAGUUGUAGAAACAUCUCAAGGAUGAUCAAUGGAAACAGGAUGCACCUGAGCUCAAUUUCGAGUCUCAUAGCAAAGGGUCUGAAUACCUAUGUAAAUAAGGUAUUUCCGUUUUAAAUUUUUCAUAAAUUAGCAAACAUUUCUAAUAACUGUUUUUGCUUUGUCAUUAAGGGGUAUUGUGUGUAGAUUGAUGAGGAACAAAAUGUAUUUAAUACAUUUUAGAAUAAAGCUGUAAUGUAACAAAAUGUGGAAAAGGGAAGGGGUCUGAAUAUUUUCUGAAUGCUCUGUACUACACUGAGUGUACAAAACAUUAGGAACACCUUCCAAAUAUUGGGACAAUUCGUCGGGACAUGGACUCUACAAGGUGUCAAGCGUUCAACAGGGAUGCUAGCCAAUGUUGACUCCAAUGCUUCCCACAGUUGUGUCAAGUUGGCUGAAUGUCCUUGGGUGGUGCGCUAUUCUUGAUAUAUACUGGAAACUGUUUAGCAUGAAAAACCGAGUAAGUAACAUCAAUAAGGGAUCAUACCUUACACCUGGAUUCACCUGAUCAGUCUAUGUCAAGGAAAGAGCAGGUGUUCCUAAUGUUUUGUACACUCAGUGUACAAAUUACAGUAUGAGCCUGUCUUGACUGCAGCUGUACAGAAGACCCCCAACCUUACUAAUGACAAUAUGCCCCGAUGCAUACACUCUAUUGAUGCAAGUCCACUGCCUUGGGUGUGAUGAAAGUGCUCUGCAAAUUAAAUGAAUUAUUAUUACUCACAGUUCUUUCCCUUCUCCUCAUGCUCUUUUCCCACAUGCCAUACCACACUUCUCAGAUGGCUGGUCAGAGAGACUAUGCUUGCCAUUGCUGGAGAGGGGCCAAAGGGACCCCUGAAGGACCCCCACCUGCAGGAAAAGUGCUCUAAACAGGCAAAAAUACAUCUCAGCCUCAUGGCAAAAUAUGUAAUAGCAAAAUGUUCUCUCACUCAUGGCAGGGUGUGUGAAUAGCAGGAUAUUGACAAUAAAACUGCACAUUUAUUUCUUUGGCCCAUGGCAAAAUGUGUAGAAUUGCA
Molecule: long non-coding RNA, 3208 nt
Organism: Salvelinus fontinalis (brook trout)
Lineage: Eukaryota; Metazoa; Chordata; Actinopteri; Salmoniformes; Salmonidae
Exons: 3
Source: RefSeq, a predicted model, not a curated record